Molecule: unclassified non-coding RNA, 253 nt
Filed under: uncultured Sphingobacteriales bacterium
Lineage: Bacteria; Pseudomonadati; Bacteroidota; Sphingobacteriia; Sphingobacteriales
Description: contains 16S-23S intergenic spacer region
Rfam family: Bacterial small subunit ribosomal RNA
Source: RNAcentral
UACGGAGGAUCCAAGCGUUAUCCGGAUUUAUUGGGUUUAAAGGGUGCGUAGGCGGAUAAAUAAGUCAGUGGUGAAAGCCUGCAGCUCAACUGCAGAACUGCCAUUGAUACUGUUUAUCUUGAAUAUGGUUGAGGUGGGCGGAAUAUGACAUGUAGUGGUGAAAUACUUAGAUAUGUCAUAGAACACCGAUUGCGAAGGUAGCUCACUAAGCCAUCAUUGACGCUGAGGCACGAAAGCGUGGGGAGCAAACAGG